This 413-nucleotide ribosomal RNA is filed under the name uncultured bacterium. RNAcentral's name for it is "bacterial SSU rRNA". It matches the Rfam family "Bacterial small subunit ribosomal RNA", at positions 945 to 1359 of the family's 1533-position model. The record is from RNAcentral.
UUUAAUUCGAAGCAACGCGCGGAACCUUACCAUCCUUUGACAUGGCGUGUUACCCAGAGAGAUUUGGGGUCCACUUCGGUGGCGCGCACACAGGUGCUGCAUGGCUGUCGUCAGCUCGUGUCGUGAGAUGUUGGGUUAAGUCCCGCAACGAGCGCAACCCACGUCCUUAGUUGCCAUCAUUCAGUUGGGCACUCUAGGGAGACUGCCGGUGAUAAGCCGCGAGGAAGGUGUGGAUGACGUCAAGUCCUCAUGGCCCUUACGGGAUGGGCUACACACGUGCUACAAUGGCGGUGACAGUGGGACGCGAAGGAGCGAUCUGGAGCAAAUCCCCAAAAGCCGUCUCAGUUCGGAUUGCACUCUGCAACUCGAGUGCAUGAAGGCGGAAUCGCUAGUAAUCGUGGAUCAGCAUGCCA